RNAcentral lists this transfer RNA (86 nucleotides) under Candidatus Bathyarchaeota archaeon. RNAcentral describes it as "tRNA-Leu". The record is from RNAcentral. Lineage: Archaea; Thermoproteati; Candidatus Bathyarchaeota.
GAUGGGUGCCAGACCGCCUAGGAUAGGGGGGAGGACUUAAGAUCCUCUGGCGUAGGCCUCCGUGGGUUCGAAUCCCACCCCCCGCA